Molecule: long non-coding RNA, 193 nt
Organism: Asterias rubens (European starfish)
Lineage: Eukaryota; Metazoa; Echinodermata; Asteroidea; Forcipulatida; Asteriidae
Exons: 3
Source: RefSeq, a predicted model, not a curated record
GGACACAAGAAUACAAAGCUCAUCGAUAGUGGAACACAGAAAUGUCCAUGGCAGUCAAGUUGAAGAUGGGACAAGCAUUAUGAUGCUAGCAGUUUCAUGGCAAGGUGUUUACAGCGGUGACAUAGAAUUUGUACAAUAGCAGCCAGUGAAUUGAGGUGAUUAACUCCCUGCUUACCAACCAGUUGUACAGGUA